Molecule: long non-coding RNA, 489 nt
Filed under: Cucumis sativus (cucumber)
Lineage: Eukaryota; Viridiplantae; Streptophyta; Magnoliopsida; Cucurbitales; Cucurbitaceae
Description: long non-coding RNA (CSAT_LNC002748)
Source: RNAcentral
UGUAUCAAUAUCUAAAUCAUCAGUUGUCUAUCCCAGAUAAACAGACAUAGACCACUGUUACUAAUGGAUCGUUUAGAUUUGGUACAAUAUUGUUUAGACUAAAUAAAAGAUCGUUUAUGUUGGGAUUUAUGUCCUAAAACUCGUAGAUUGUAAAUAUAAUCCAUUAAUCGUUGUUAAUAACAUGUUAUUAUUGUAAUAAUUGUUAUUGGUUAUAAUAUUAGUUGUCUUAAUAACUCAAAUCAAACAAACUAACAUCCUAAGUUGUUUAAUGAAUCUUAAACAGUAUGUAGAGACAUACAGGGAUAAAGGUUCAAGAUCAGCUUAAAGGUUCUAUAGUACAAGGAUAAGGCUGAAUACCUAAUCCUGGUAACACUAUGAAUAUGGCUCACUUUGUAUUUGAUACAAACACAAUGAUUCAACGCGUUUGUGUAGUUGACAUACGAGUGACGGUAUCUUAUGCAAUAAGUUUACAUAAGAUCAGACGGCAAA